Molecule: ribosomal RNA, 468 nt
Filed under: uncultured bacterium
Lineage: Bacteria
Description: partial 16S ribosomal RNA
Rfam family: Bacterial small subunit ribosomal RNA
Source: RNAcentral
GACGAACGCUGGCGGCGUGCUUAACACAUGCAAGUCGAACGGAAAGGCCCUGCUUUUGUGGGGUGCUCGAGUGGCGAACGGGUGAGUAACACGUGAGUAACCUGCACUUGACUUUGGGAUAACUUCAGGAAACUGGGGCUCAUACCGGAUAGGAGCUCCUGCUGCAUGGUGGGGGUUGGAAAGUUUCGGCGGUUGGGGCUGGUCUCGCGGCUUACCAGCUUGUUGGUGGGGUAGUGGCUUACCAAGGCUUUGACGGCUAGCCGGCGUGGGAGGGGGACCAGCGACAAUGGGACUGAGAGACGGCCCAGACUCCUACGGGAGGCAGCAGUGGGGAACAUGGCACAAUGGGCGGAAGCCUGAUGCAGCAACGCCGCGUGCGGGAUGACGGCUUUCGGGUUGUAAACCGCUUUCGCAUGUGACGAAGCGUGAGUGACGGUAAUGGGUAAAGAAGCACCGGCUAACUACGUG